RNAcentral lists this ribosomal RNA (1767 nucleotides) under Paracreptotrematina limi. Its description in RNAcentral is "eukaryotic LSU rRNA". The stretch from base 436 to 1767 matches the Rfam family "Eukaryotic large subunit ribosomal RNA", at positions 1 to 926 of the family's 3401-position model. Lineage: Eukaryota; Metazoa; Platyhelminthes; Trematoda; Plagiorchiida; Allocreadiidae. The record is from RNAcentral.
UGCGGUGGAUCACUCGGCUCGUGUGUCGAUGAAGAGCGCAGCCAACUGUGUGAAUUAAUGCGAACUGCAUACUGCUUUGAGCAUCGACAUCUUGAACGCAUAUUGCGGCCACGGGUUAACCUGUGGCCACGCCUGUCCGAGGGUCGGCUUAUAAACUAUCACGACGCCCAACAAGUCGUGGCUUGGGUUUUGCCAGCUGGCGUGAUUUCCCCAUCAACUUGGCCUUUGUGUCAGGUCGGGGUGCCAGAUCUAUGGCGUUUCCCUAAUGUAACCGGGCACACCUGCAUCUUCGCAAUUGGCUUGGAUGAGGACGUGGCGACGGAGUCGUGGCUCAGUGAAUUACAAGCGCGCUCCGAUUCGUGGUCCGUUCCUUGCUAGGUGCUGUGUUGACCGACGUUUUGCGAAUGCGCAAUAUUGGUGCAAGCAUUCAUUUCCUGACCUCGGAUCAGACGUGAUUACCCGCUGAACUUAAGCAUAUCACUAAGCGGAGGAAAAGAAACUAACAAGGAUUCCCUCAGUAACGGCGAGUGAACAGGGAAGAGCCCAGCACCGAAGCCUGUGGCCGUUUGGUUACUAGGCAAUGUGGUGUUUAGGUUUUUCCAUUGAGACACUGCUCCAUUCUAAGUCCAUCAUUGAGUACGGUAGUACGGACAUGGCCCAUUGAGGGUGAAAGGCCCGUUUGAGUGGAGGUUUUGUAUACCAGUGUCUCUCUGGAUUGACCUUGGAGUCGGGUUGUUUGUGAAUGCAGCCCAAAGUGGGUGGUAAACUCCAUCCAAGGCUAAAUACAAGCACGAGUCCGAUAGCGAACAAGUACCGUGAGGGAAAGUUGAAAAGUACUUUGAAGAGAGAGUAAACAGUGCGUGAAACCGCUCAGAGGUAAACAGAUGGGGUUGAACUGCAUGCUUUGAGAAUUCAGCUGGUGAGCUUAUGUUGAGCUUGGUCAAAUUUGUCGAGCCCUGAGGUAUGCUUAGCUGCAUGUCUCCGCCUUCGGGUGGUUGAUGCGCGUCGCACUUAUCAAGUGCUGUGCGCCUUGGGUGUUCUUCGGACUUGCUUGCCAGUGCACUUUCUCAGAGUGGUCACCACGACCGGCGCCGCUGUCUGGCUGUUGUAGUUAAACCGGUCUUACAUUGUCCUUGUGGCUUUGUUUGGUCGGGAUGGCAGGUGGCUCGCUUGCUUGCUUUGCUUGCUCGCGGGUGUAAUCAGCUGACUAUGAUGGUUCUGUGCAGUGCGUCGGAGACGGCGGCUUGUGGUGUGUGCAUUCGUGCCUGAUCUGCUGGCGUGUCCUGGUUUGGUUACUAUGUUGCCUGUUCAAGCAGGCCUAGUGGUGGCUGGGAUUCGUUUGGCGGGUGGUUGCGUUUGUGGCACUAUUCCAAGGGCCAAUAGUCUGUGGUGUUGUGGUAGACUACCCAUCUGACCCGUCUUGAAACACGGACCAAGGAGAGUAACAUGUGCGCGAGUCAUUGGGCGAAACGAAACCCACAGGCGCAGUGAAAGUAAAGGCUUGGCUUGUCCAGGCUUAGGUGAGAUCCUGUCGUUUCUCACGCGUGGUUCCACCAAGCAUCGAACGAUAGGCGCAUCACCGGCCCGUCCCAUGACGUAGACAUGGUCUUCGGACUGUGCAUCGUCGGGGCGGGGCAUGAGCGUACAUGUUGAGACCCGAAAGAUGGUGAACUAUGCUUGCGCAGGUUGAAGCCAGAGGAAACUCUGGUGGAGGACCGUAGCGAUUCUGACGUGCAAAUCGAUCGUCAAACGUGAGUAUAGGGGCGA